UUCCCUUAGUAACGGCGAGUGAACAGGGAAAAGCCCAGCACCGAAGCCUAUGGUCGUUUGGCCAUCAGGCAAUGUGGUGUUUAGGUCGUUCCGCAGACGCACUGCUCCACCCUAAGUCCAAUAAUGAGUACGGUGGUACGGACAUGGCCCAUUGAGGGUGAAAGGCCCGUGGGGGUGGAGAUCAGGCGAGACAGUGCUACUCUGGGAGGACCUUGGAGUCGGGUUGUUUGUGAAUGCAGCCCAAAGUGGGUGGUAAACUCCAUCCAAGGCUAAAUACAAGCACGAGUCCGAUAGAGAACAAGUACCGUGAGGGAAAGUUGAAAAGUACUCUGAAGAGAGAGUAAACAGUGCGUGAAGCCGCUCAGAGGUAAACGGGUGGAGUUGAACUGUGAGUUCCGAGGGUUCAGCUGGUGACGAUGAUUGGGCUUGGCUAAAUUGGCCGGGCCUUGGGGUCUGUUUAGCUACAGGUCUCCGCCUUCGGGUGGGGAUGCGCGAUACACUCGUUGAGUGUUGCGCGCCUCAGGGUAACCGGGUCUGGUCGCCAGUGCACUCCCUCGGGACGGUCACCACGACCGGCAUGUCGUCUGUCUGUUGCGGUUAAACCGGCCGUGCAUUGUCCUUGUGGCUUUGUGCGGUCGGGACGGCAGGUAGCUCGUUGGUUUGUUCGCAGACUUUCGGGUGUAAUCAGCUGACUGCGAUUUGACUGUGCGGUGUGUCGGGGACGGCGGCUUGAGGUGUGUGCGUGCGUACCAGUCUGCUGGCGUGUCCGUGUUAGGUUGCUCAGUUGCUCACGUAGUGGGCCAAGCGGCGACUGGGACGCGUGCGGUGGGCGGUUGCGUGCGUGGCACUAUUCUUGGGCCUAUAGUCUGUGGUGUUGCGGUAGACGAUCCACCCGACCCGUCUUGAAACACGGACCAAGGAGAGUAACAUGUGCGCGAGUCAUUGGGCGUAACGAAACCCAAAGGCGCAGUGAAAGUAAAGGCUUGGCUUGUCCAGGCUAAGGUGAGAUCCUGUCGUUUCUUACGCGUGGUACCACCAAGCAUCGAGCGGCAGGCGCAUCACCGGCCCGUCCCAUGGCAUUGGCAGUCGAAUAUACAGUACAGUCGGGGCGGAGCAAGAGCGUACAUGUUGAGACCCGAAAGAUGGUGAACUAUGCUUGUGCAGAUUGAAGCCAGAGGAAACUCUGGUGGAGGAUCGCAGCGAUUCUGACGUGCAAAUCGAUCGUCAGACAUGAGUAUAGGGGCGAAAGACUAAUCGAACCAUCUGGUAGCUGGUUCCCUCCGAAGUUUCCCUCAGGAUAGCUGGUGCUGAGUUUAAACAGUUUUAUCCGGUAAAGCGAAUGAUUAGAGGCAUUGGGAACGAAACGUUCUCGACCUAUUCUCAAACUUUAAAUGGGUGAGAAGCCCAACUCGCUCAAAUGGAGUUGGGCAUUGAAUGCAAGUGCCAAGUGGGCCAUUUUUGGUAAGCAGAACUGGCGUAGUGGGAUGAACCAAACGCUCGGUUAAUGUGCCUAACACGACGCUCAUCAGAUACCACAAAAGGUGUUGGUUGGUCGUGACAGCAGGACGGUGGCCAUGGAAGUUGGAACCCGCUAAGGAG
Molecule: ribosomal RNA, 1599 nt
Filed under: Macvicaria obovata
Lineage: Eukaryota; Metazoa; Platyhelminthes; Trematoda; Plagiorchiida; Opecoelidae
Description: eukaryotic LSU rRNA
Rfam family: Eukaryotic large subunit ribosomal RNA
Source: RNAcentral